ACUCUUUCGCCGCGCAAAGGCUGCGCCUAUAUUCGCAGGUGCCGCUCGCAAGAGCGGCUAUGGCGAUAAACGGACUUCGUAAUAAGCCUUUCGGACCCGGGGGCGGUACCCGGCGCCUCCACCAAAGCCCUGACGGGCUGCAUCCUGCGGCGAAAGCACAGGGUUUUGGCGGGGGCGAAAUAGGAUCGACGAGGGUGUAAAGGUUGUUCUUUUGCUCGGCAUGGUUCCGCCGUUAUCGGGCCAAAAGCAUAGUUGCCAACGACAACAAUGCUCGGGUCGCCGUCGCCGCGUAAGCGGUGCUGGUUCCCAAACCAAAGCCCUUGCGCUUAGCCGCGUAAGGCGGGGCUCGGAGGCGCCUGGCAACAGAAGCCUCCACU
RNAcentral lists this transfer-messenger RNA (377 nucleotides) under Allobosea thiooxidans. Its description in RNAcentral is "Bosea thiooxidans Alphaproteobacteria transfer-messenger RNA". It matches the Rfam family "Alphaproteobacteria transfer-messenger RNA". From Rfam's summary of the family: Bacterial tmRNA, also known as 10Sa RNA or SsrA, is named for its dual tRNA and mRNA-like properties. Its role is to liberate the mRNA from a stalled ribosome. To accomplish this part of the tmRNA is used as a reading frame that ends in a translation stop signal. The record is from Rfam by way of RNAcentral. Lineage: Bacteria; Pseudomonadati; Pseudomonadota; Alphaproteobacteria; Hyphomicrobiales; Alloboseaceae.